Felis catus (domestic cat) is the source of this 85-nucleotide non-coding RNA. Lineage: Eukaryota; Metazoa; Chordata; Mammalia; Carnivora; Felidae. The record is from Rfam.
GCCUGGGUGGCUCAGUCAGUUAAGCAUCUGACUUCGGCUCAGGUCAUGAUCUCACAGCUCGUGGGUUCGAGUCCCCCGUNAGGCU